GCUUGUCUCAAAGAUUAAGCCAUGCAUGUCUAAGUAUAGUACCUUAUACUGCGAAACUGCGAAUGGCUCAUUAAAUCAGUUAUAAUUCAUUUGAUGGUACUUACUACUCGGAUAACCGUAGUAAUUCUAGAGCUAAUACAUGCUAUCAAGCCCGACUUCUUGAAGGGUUGUAUUUAUUAGACUUAAGCCAAUAUUCCUUGUGUCUAUUGCGAUGAUUCAUAAUAACUGAUCGAAUCUCAAAUUUGAGAUAAAUCAUUCAAGUUUCUGCCCUAUCAGCUUUCGAUGGUAGUGUAUUGGACUACCAUGGCAGUAACGGGUAACGAAGAAUUAGGGUUCGAUUUCGGAGAGGGAGCAUGAGAAACGGCUACCACAUCUAAGGAAGGCAGCAGG
Molecule: ribosomal RNA, 390 nt
Filed under: uncultured Scuticociliatia
Lineage: Eukaryota; Ciliophora; Oligohymenophorea
Description: partial small subunit ribosomal RNA
Rfam family: Eukaryotic small subunit ribosomal RNA
Source: RNAcentral